AUACGGAGGGUGCGAGCGUUAAUCGGAAUUACUGGGCGUAAAGCGAGCGUAGGCGGUUUGCUAAGUCAGAUGUGAAAGCCCCGGGCUUAACCUGGGAACUGCAUUUGAUACUGGCAGACUAGAGUAUGAUAGAGGGGGGUAGAAUUCCUGGUGUAGCGGUGAAAUGCGUAGAUAUCAGGAGGAAUACCAGUGGCGAAGGCGGCCCCCUGGAUCAAUACUGACGCUGAGGUACGAAAGCGUGGGGAGCGAACAGGAUUAGAAACCCUAGUAGUCC
RNAcentral lists this ribosomal RNA (274 nucleotides) under uncultured bacterium. RNAcentral's name for it is "partial 16S ribosomal RNA". It matches the Rfam family "Bacterial small subunit ribosomal RNA", at positions 523 to 796 of the family's 1533-position model. The record is from RNAcentral.